RNAcentral lists this ribosomal RNA (492 nucleotides) under uncultured bacterium. RNAcentral's name for it is "partial 16S ribosomal RNA". It matches the Rfam family "Bacterial small subunit ribosomal RNA", at positions 29 to 507 of the family's 1533-position model. The record is from RNAcentral.
AUUGAACGCUGGCGGCAUGCUUUACACAUGCAAGUCGAGCGGUAACAGGCCUUCGGGUGCUGACGAGUGGCGAACGGGUGAGUAAUGCAUCGGAACGUACCCAGAGGUGGGGGAUAACGCAGCGAAAGCUGUGCUAAUACCGCAUGUGAUCUGAGGAUGAAAGCGGGGGACCGAGCAGCAAUGUUUGGCCUCGCGCCUUUGGAGCGGCCGAUGUCGGAUUAGCUAGUUGGGGGGGUAAAGGCCUACCAAGGCGACGAUCCGUAGCUGGUCUGAGAGGACGACCAGCCACACGGGGACUGAGACACGGCCCAGACUCCUACGGGAGGCAGCAGUGGGGAAUUUUGGACAAUGGGCGCAAGCCUGAUCCAGCAAGGCCGCGUGCGGGAAGAAGGCCUUCGGGUUGUAAACCGCUUUUGGCAGGAACGAAACGGUGUCCGCUAAUACCGGGCGCUAAUGACGGUACCUGCAGAAUAAGCACCGGCUAACUACGUG